CCGCCGCGUCCCGCACCGCCUACCCUGCGGCUCCCUCCCCCCCGUUCCCUGCGCUCGGACACGAGCCGGCGCUGUGUGUUCACCUGCUCCCUGUAGGAAUGUGCUAGUGGGUGCAGUUGCCGGUAUGCGGUGGAGGAAUGAAAUGAGUAGAUGUUAACCACGUGAACUCAUCUUCUGACGUGUAUGUUUAUCAUAAUGGGCAACACUAAGUCCAAAAGAAAUCCUCCCCCUCUACCAAAUAACAUAGAAAAGGAUACCAAUGUGAGUGCAGGCGAGAGAGACUUCAAGCAAAAUCAUGAAUUGUGUGGCCUCUCUCUUGACAUAGAAGGGAUCUCUACAAAUGUUCCAGAAAUUCUCAGCAGUGAUGAGGAUCCUGAGGAUGUGUUUUACAAGUUUGUGAUUCUGCAUGCUCAGAAUGAUGCAGAUGAAGCCAGCCGACUCCAGCAUCUGCUACAAAAUAAUUUUUGUAUUAAACCUGGAAUAAUCUUUGCUGAAAUGCCUAGUGGUAGACAUUUCUUACAAAAUUUAAAUGAUGCUGUGAAUAGGUCAGCAUGGACUAUUAUUCUGUUGACAGAACAUUUCUUGAGUGAGGCUUGGUGUGAGUUCCAGUCUUAUGCCUCCGUGAUGAACGCUCUUAACAAACAGCAUAAAUAUAACUCUGUCAUACCACUGAGGCCACUGAAUAAUCCACUUCCAAGGGAGAAGACUCCUUGUGUCCUGCAAGCCAUUAAUGCACUGGAAGAAGAUAGUCCUGGCUUUGCUAAACAAGUGGAGAAGAUUUUCCAGGAGUCUAAAUAUAGGCAACAGCAAGCAAUGUGGAUGGAAGAAAGAAAGAAAGAAAGAAAGAAUAAAUGAGACACACUAGAGCUAUUGGAAUGAUGAAAGACAUGCAUAAAGACAGUUAAAUCGACAAUUAAAUUGAAGGAGGUAAAUUAGUUGUCUUACUCAUCUCAAGUAUGAGAGAAACACCUUCUUUUGAGAAACCAACCCACAGAAAAGAUGGUGGUAAGAGUUUCCCAUAAAGACAUUAUUUUUAUUACUUAACAUCUGUAUGUUUUCAGCAGUAUUAUCAAGAUGUGGCCAAUCAUCACCUUGACCCCUUUAUUUAUGAUAUGCCACUUCCCCUACCCAUAUCUGUUUGUUUGGCUUCUCUUUAUAUUGUACGCUCUACUGGGCAGAUACCGUAUCUUCCUUUAAGUUUGUACAGCUCCUCUCAUGUUGUAGCUGCUACUGGAAACAAAUAAUAAAUAGGGUAGUACUAAACAGUGGCUGCUACUGAGAGCCAACAGAAGCGGCACAGGAUGACAUCCUGUAAGGAAGCUAUUCUAUUAAUAACUAUCUUUAGAUCAGAAAUAUAAAUAUAUGAAAAAUACUUAUGAGUGUUACAAAACCAGGGAAAUACAUUUGGCGCCCUACAAAAUAUAUGCUCCUAUUUUAAGAAGUAAGAAUCUCAAAAUAUGUGUGCACUACUUUUGUCAUGUUUGCAAUUGUUAAAAAGCAUAUAUUUUCUAAUUAUGCAUCUUGACCAAAUGGGUAGGUGCAUUUUACAAAUUAAAAUAAACACACUCUCAAUUUC
This is an RNA transcript of Dermochelys coriacea (leatherback sea turtle), 1576 nucleotides long. It is a transcript of the gene named toll like receptor adaptor molecule 2, with no coding region annotated. The record is from RefSeq and is a predicted model, not a curated record. NCBI's taxonomy places the organism in Eukaryota, Metazoa, Chordata, Testudines, Dermochelyidae. The transcript is spliced from 2 exons.